RNAcentral lists this ribosomal RNA (435 nucleotides) under uncultured bacterium. Its description in RNAcentral is "bacterial SSU rRNA". It matches the Rfam family "Bacterial small subunit ribosomal RNA", at positions 355 to 787 of the family's 1533-position model. The record is from RNAcentral.
UAAGGAAUAUUGGUCAAUGGAGGCAACUCUGAACCAGCCAUGCCGCGUGCAGGAGGACGGCCCUAUGGGUUGUAAACUGCUUUUACAGGGGAACAAACCCCGGUACGUGUACCGGGCUGAGUGUACCUUGAGAAUAAGGAUCGGCUAACUCCGUGCCAGCAGCCGCGGUAAUACGGAGGAUCCGAGCGUUAUCCGGAUUUAUUGGGUUUAAAGGGUGCGUAGGCGGGAUGCUAAGUCAGUGGUGAAAGACGGUGGCUCAACCAUCGCAGUGCCGUUGAUACUGGUGUUCUUGAAUGCGGAUGAGGUAGGCGGAAUGUGGCAAGUAGCGGUGAAAUGCAUAGAGAUGCCACAGAACACCGAUUGCGAAGGCAGCUUACUAAGCUUUGAUUGACGCUGAGGCACGAAAGCGUGGGGAUCAAACAGGAUUAGAUACCC